GCUAGGACAUAAUGAAAGGGCUCAAAGGCUGCUAUUCUGCACAAGUCCAAAAUAUGUGCCAUCAGCCAGCUUCACCAAGUCUGCUUCUGCCCUGUGAUCUAAAGGGCUUUGGUGAUGCUUUUUACUGGAGAAAGACUGAUCUCAACAGAGAAUGCAGAGAAACAAAACCAAAACUACGCACAAAUUGGAAGAAUAACCAUAUUUGAAGUAGCACAUGCUCUGACACAAUGUUGUCCAACUCAAAGGUAGUUCACAGAAGUACUGUUUUGGAAUGAUCAAUAAUGUUGAAUCAGCCAUAUUCAUUGAGACUGUACUAUAACUUUAGAAUUCAUCUUUUAUUUAGAAGUGUCCAACAUUAUUGUUCCAGCCUUUGUGUUCACAUACAUUUCGUAAAAAAGUGCAUAAAAAAGCCAAACGCACAAGGUCCUCUCAUUCUCCUUUAAGGAAGUUUAAUAUAUAUUAAUAACACCACCAGUAACCGAACCCUGGAUUAUUAUGAUUAUUUUAACUGGUGUUUGGCAUCAUAUGAUUAUCAGCUUUGACCUUUGAAUGCGCCACAUAAGACGGCUCAGACGGCUUGUAUUUUAUAUUGUACUUUAUAGUCUAUUGUACUUAUUAUAUUUUAUUGUAUUGUUGCUGUUGUUCUUUUUCUUUUUCUUACUUUUCUUUGCACAUGCCAGCUGCAUUGCCAAUUUCACUGGACUUGUUCGGCAACAAUA
Long non-coding RNA from Cololabis saira (Pacific saury), 719 nucleotides. RefSeq lists it as uncharacterized. Lineage: Eukaryota; Metazoa; Chordata; Actinopteri; Beloniformes; Belonidae. The transcript has 4 exons. The record is from RefSeq and is a predicted model, not a curated record.